GCGAGAGUGGCGGAAUUGGCAGACGCGCUGGACUUAGGAUCCAGUGGUUGAAACCGUGGGGGUUCGAGUCCCCCCUCUCGCACCA
Molecule: transfer RNA, 85 nt
Filed under: Actinomycetota bacterium
Lineage: Bacteria; Bacillati; Actinomycetota
Description: Actinobacteria bacterium tRNA-Leu
Rfam family: tRNA
About the family: Transfer RNA (tRNA) molecules are approximately 80 nucleotides in length. Their secondary structure includes four short double-helical elements and three loops (D, anti-codon, and T loops).
Source: RNAcentral